This 253-nucleotide ribosomal RNA is filed under the name uncultured bacterium. RNAcentral describes it as "partial 16S ribosomal RNA". It matches the Rfam family "Bacterial small subunit ribosomal RNA", at positions 524 to 776 of the family's 1533-position model. The record is from RNAcentral.
UACGUAGGGUGCGAGCGUUAAUCGGAAUUACUGGGCGUAAAGCGUGCGCAGGCGGUUCGUUAAGUCAGAUGUGAAAGCCCCGGGCUCAACCUGGGAACUGCAUUUGAAACUGGCGGGCUUGAGUGUGGCAGAGGGGGGUGGAAUUCCGCGUGUAGCAGUGAAAUGCGUAGAGAUGCGGAGGAACACCGAUGGCGAAGGCAGCCCCCUGGGCCACCUCUGACGCUGAUACGCGAAGGCGUGGGGAGCGAACGGG